Molecule: ribosomal RNA, 254 nt
Filed under: uncultured bacterium
Lineage: Bacteria
Description: partial 16S ribosomal RNA
Rfam family: Bacterial small subunit ribosomal RNA
Source: RNAcentral
UACGUAGGGUGCGAGCGUUGUCCGGAAUUAUUGGGCGUAAAGAGCUCGUAGGCGGUGUGUCACGUCGGCCGUGAAAACCUGCAGCUUAACUGUGGGCGUGCGGUCGAUACGGGCAUCACUGGAGUUCGGCAGGGGAGACUGGAAUUCCUGGUGUAGCGGUGGAAUGCGCAGAUAUCAGGAGGAACACCAAUAGCGAAGGCAGCUCGCUGGGACGGUACUGACGCUGAGGCGCGAAAGCGUGGGGAGCGAACAGG